This 23-nucleotide non-coding RNA is filed under the name Arabidopsis thaliana (thale cress). Lineage: Eukaryota; Viridiplantae; Streptophyta; Magnoliopsida; Brassicales; Brassicaceae. The record is from RNAcentral.
UAUCUUGACAUGCUUUUUCCAUC